GACGAACGCUGGCGGCGUGCUUAACACAUGCAAGUCGAACGGAAAGGCCCUGCUUGCAGGGUGCUCGAGUGGCGAACGGGUGAGUAACACGUGGGUGAUCUGCCCCUUACUUUGGGAUAAGCCUGGGAAACUGGGUCUAAUACUGGAUAGGACCAUGCUGUAGGUGGUGUGGUGGAAAGAUUAGUUUCGGUAAGGGAUGAGCUCGCGGCCUAUCAGCUUGUUGGUGGGGUAAUGGCGUACCAAGGCGUCGACGGGUAGCCGGCCUGAGAGGGUGGACGGCCACAUUGGGACUGAGAUACGGCCCAGAAUCCUACGGGAGGCAGCAGUGGGGAAUAUUGCACAAUGGGCGCAAGCCUGAUGCAGCGACGCCGCGUGGGGGAUGACGGCCUUCGGGUUGUAAACUCCUUUCAGCCAUGACGAAGCCCUUGUGGUGACGGUAGUGGUAGAAGAAGCACCGGCUAACUACGUG
RNAcentral lists this ribosomal RNA (469 nucleotides) under uncultured bacterium. RNAcentral's name for it is "partial 16S ribosomal RNA". It matches the Rfam family "Bacterial small subunit ribosomal RNA", at positions 28 to 507 of the family's 1533-position model. The record is from RNAcentral.